RNAcentral lists this ribosomal RNA (376 nucleotides) under uncultured bacterium. Its description in RNAcentral is "partial 16S ribosomal RNA". It matches the Rfam family "Bacterial small subunit ribosomal RNA", at positions 355 to 747 of the family's 1533-position model. The record is from RNAcentral.
UAGGGAAUAUUGCAAAAUGGGCGAAAGCCCGAAGCAGCAACGCCGCGUGGGCGAUGAAGGCCUUCGGGUCGUAAAGCCCUUUUUGAGGGGAUGAGGAAGGACAGUACCCUCAGAAUAAGCCUCGGCUAACUACGUGCCAGCAGCCGCGGUAAAACGUAGGAGGCGAGCGUUAUCCGGAUUUACUGGGCGUAAAGCGCGUGCAGGCGGAUUGGAGAGUUGGAUGUGAAAGCUCCCGGCUUAACUGGGAGAGGUCGUUCAAUACUUCCAGNCUUGAGUGCAGUAGAGGGAAGUNGNAUUCCGGGUNUAGUGGUGAAAUGCGUAGAUAUCCGGAGGAACACNNGUGGCGAAANCNGCNNCCUGGNCUGNAACUGACGCU